CCCAGACUCCUACGGGAGGCAGCAGUGAGGAAUAUUGGUCAAUGGCCGAGAGGCUGAACCAGCCAAGUCGCGUGAGGGAUGACGGUCCUAUGGAUUGUAAACCUCUUUUGUCAGGGAGCAAAGGGCGCCACGUGUGGCGUUUUGCGAGUACCUGAAGAAAAAGCAUCGGCUAACUCCGUGCCAGCAGCCGCGGUAAUACGGAGGAUGCGAGCGUUAUCCGGAUUUAUUGGGUUUAAAGGGUGCGUAGGCGGACGCUUAAGUCAGGGGUAAAAUUGGGGGGCUCAACCUCGUCGAGCCGUUGAAACUGGGUGCCUUGAGUGGGCGAGAAGUACGCGGAAUGCGUGGUGUAGCGGUGAAAUGCAUAGAUAUCACGCAGAACUCCGAUUGCGAAGGCAGCGUACCGGCGCCCAACUGACGCUGAAGCACGAAGGCGUGGGCAUCGAACAGGAUUAGAUACCCGAGUAC
Molecule: ribosomal RNA, 465 nt
Filed under: uncultured bacterium
Lineage: Bacteria
Description: bacterial SSU rRNA
Rfam family: Bacterial small subunit ribosomal RNA
Source: RNAcentral